This 253-nucleotide ribosomal RNA is filed under the name uncultured bacterium. Its description in RNAcentral is "partial 16S ribosomal RNA". It matches the Rfam family "Bacterial small subunit ribosomal RNA", at positions 524 to 776 of the family's 1533-position model. The record is from RNAcentral.
UACGUAGGGUGCAAGCGUUGUCCGGAAUUAUUGGGCGUAAAGAGCUCGUAGGCGGUCUGUCGCGUCUGCUGUGAAAACUCGGGGCUUAACCCCGGGCCUGCAGUGGGUACGGGCAGACUAGAGUGCGGUAGGGGAGACUGGAAUUCCUGGUGUAGCGGUGGAAUGCGCAGAUAUCAGGAGGAACACCGAUGGCGAAGGCAGAUCUCUGGGCCGUAACUGACGCUGAGGAGCGAAAGCAUGGGGAGCGAACAGG